CCUACGGGUGGCAGCAGUGAGGAAUAUUGGUCAAUGGAGGAAAGUCUGAUCCAGCCAUGCCGCGUGCAGGAAGACGUCUCUAUGAGUUUUAAACUGCUUUUGUACAAGGGUAAAUCUGAAUACGUGUAUUCAGCUGAAAGUACUGUACGAAUAAGGAUCGGCUAACUCCGUGCCAGCAGCCGCGGUAAUACGGAGGAUCUAAGCGUUAUCCGGAUUUAUUGGGUUUAAAGGGUGCGUAGGCGGAUUGAUAAGUUAGAGGUGAAAUGUCCGAGCUUAACUCGGGAACUGCCCUUAAUACGGUUCAUCUAGAGAGUAGAUGCGGUAGGCGGAAUGUAUGGUGUAGCGGUGAAAUGCUUAGAGAUCAUACAGAACACCGAUUGCGAAGGCAGCUUACCAAUCUAUAUCUGACGUUGAGGCACGAAAGCGUGGGGAGCAAACAGGAUUAGAUACCCGUGUAGUC
RNAcentral lists this ribosomal RNA (460 nucleotides) under uncultured bacterium. RNAcentral's name for it is "partial 16S ribosomal RNA". It matches the Rfam family "Bacterial small subunit ribosomal RNA", at positions 338 to 795 of the family's 1533-position model. The record is from RNAcentral.